UACGUAGGGGGCUAGCGUUGUCCGGAAUCAUUGGGCGUAAAGAGCGCGUAGGCGGCUGGAAUAGUCCGGUGUGAAAUCCACAGGCUUAACCUGUGAAUGCCGCUGGAAACUGUCUGGCUAGAGUCCGGAAGGGGCGAGUGGAAUUCCUGGUGUAGCGGUGAAAUGCGCAGAUAUCAGGAGGAACACCAAUGGCGAAGGCGAGUCUCUGGACAUUUCCUGACGCUGAGGCACGAAAGCCAGGGGAGCAAACGGG
Molecule: ribosomal RNA, 253 nt
Filed under: uncultured bacterium
Lineage: Bacteria
Description: partial 16S ribosomal RNA
Rfam family: Bacterial small subunit ribosomal RNA
Source: RNAcentral